RNAcentral lists this unclassified non-coding RNA (348 nucleotides) under soil metagenome. Its description in RNAcentral is "partial contains 5.8S ribosomal RNA, internal transcribed spacer 2, and large subunit ribosomal RNA". The stretch from base 1 to 120 matches the Rfam family "5.8S ribosomal RNA", at positions 35 to 154 of the family's 154-position model. The record is from RNAcentral.
GAUGAAGAACGUAGCGAAAUGCGAUAAGUAAUGUGAAUUGCAGAAUUCAGUGAAUCAUCGAAUCUUUGAACGCACAUUGCGCCCGCCAGUAUUCUGGCGGGCAUGCCUGUCUGAGCGUCAUUUCAACCCUCAUGCCCCUAGGGCGUGGUGUCGGGGAUCGGCCAAAGCCCGCGAGGGACGGCCGGCCCCUAAAUCUAGUGGCGGACCCGUCGUGGCCUCCUCUGCGAAGUAGUGAUAUUCCGCAUCGGAGAGCGAUGAGCCCCUGCCGUUAAACCCCCAACUUUCCAAGGUUGACCUCAGAUCAGGUAGGAAUACCCGCUGAACUUAAGCAUAUCAAUAAGCGGAGGA